Molecule: RNA transcript, 8935 nt
Organism: Mirounga angustirostris (Northern elephant seal)
Lineage: Eukaryota; Metazoa; Chordata; Mammalia; Carnivora; Phocidae
Gene name: adenylate kinase isoenzyme 6-like
Exons: 1
Source: RefSeq, a predicted model, not a curated record
AACAGAAUCCAGCUCCAGGAGAGCUCUCGGGUUUUUUGGCAGUAGAGUCCUAGCGAGGGGAGGCAAGGUGGGUGUGCGUAGCCCUCCCCACUGCUGGAAAGGGCAUUGCUGAGGCAGAAGAAAGGGAUGGCAGGGAGUGGGGGGAAUGUGGCUGCUUCACCCUAGAGCCAGCGCAAGUGGAGUCCCUCAGAGGCCAUUGUUAAGAGGCUCGACUCUGGAACCAGAUGGCAGAUGCCUUGUUCCCUGGUAACUGCGAGACCUUGGCCAAGUCACUGUCCCUCUUUGGGUGUCAAUCUUCCCAUCUGUAAAAUGAGGGGAUGGGACUAGUUUGUCUUACAGGCUCUUCGGAGCUCUCAGUUUUGAGUUUCAAAAUAUGCAGUUGCUGAGAUUACAAUUUAUGUUUAACUCCUCGAAUCUUUACACUGAACUUUGGCUGAUCACAGGAACCUUAUCCUGGAGUAGGAACUGCACCCUCUUUCCCUGUUUUCCCAGAGCUUGCAUCCCAGGUGGUUAGCACCGUUUACUAAGCAUAUUCAUACACUGAACAUAUUCCUGAGCAUAUUAACAUUAUGAAGCAUACUAAGGAAGUCCACCUUACUACAAAGAACAUCAGAUUUCAAACCUGCAGAACCUGCUUAUUUGUCUUGGUUCUACACCUAAAUAGCUUGCUUACCUUGGAAUCCCCCCUUUCCUGGGCCUCCAUUUAGCCACCUGUUAACAGUGCAGGGUUGGGGGGGUGCACGGGUGGCUCAGUCGUUAAGCGUCUGCCUUCAGCUCAGGUUAUGAUCCCGGGGUCCUGGGAUCUAGCCCCACAUCGGGCUCCCUGCUCAGCAGGGAGCCUGCUUCUCCCUCUCCCACUCCCCCUGCUUGUGUUCCCUCUCCUGCUGUCUCUCUCUCUCUGUCAAAUAAAUAAAUAAAAUCUUUAAAAAAAACCCCAAAAAACCAAAAAAACAGUGCAGGGUUGUGCUUAAUGCCCCUAAGAGCUCUUCUUAGCUCAGGCAUUUCAGGAUUCUAAGUGCCCUGGGACACGUGUGGUGUUACUUCCUUUUUUUCUUUAUUUUUUAAAAAAGAUUUUAUUUAUUUAUUUAUCAGAGAGAGAGCGUGCACAAACAGGGGAAGGUGCAGACAGAGCAGGCAGAGGGAGAAGCAGGCUCCCCUCUGAGCAGGGAGCCCGACGUGGGACUCGAUCCCAGGACCCUGGGAUCAUGACCUGAGUCAAAGGCAGACGCUUAACCGCCUGAGCCACCCAGGCACCCCUUUGUGUGGUGUUACUUCUAAGCAAGAGCUGCUUUGGGUGCCAGAAAGGGGUACUUAUGUUUGCCUUAGCAUAGAGGGCUGGUACUCACUCACCCCGAAUAGCUCAGCAGCUGGUCCAUCACCCCACUUUUCUAAGCACCUCCCUAUGUGCAGCACCCUGUGCCAGGAGCCAUGGAGGCCACGAGAAAGAUGGGACUCCUAUGUUAAGGAAGUAUAGUCAGGUCGGGAGAGAAGACCCAAGACACACGUGCAUGACUAAUCAGAAGUUCAAGAUGGGGUAUGCUCAGGUCCAAGUGGACUGCCAGCCCUUUUACUCACUGCCCAUAUUUGCAUCCCCAGAAACUAGAGCAGGACCUGGCUCACAACAGGGACUUGGUGGAUGUUUAUCCAUCUAAUGGAGAAAUGAGGGUGAGACUCUACUGGCCUGAAAACUCCCCAGAGGAGACAAGGCUUGACACUCAGGUAGAACUGAAUGGGGGUAGUGAUAGCCCAUGGGUGGUACCCAACCAUCCCAGAGGCAGACUUCCAGGCCUCAUUAUUCCUGCAUCCUAAGGCCUGAGGUUUGAUGUACUAAGUUCAUAACCUGUUGCUUUGGAUUCAACUUUGGAAAUAUCCACAGCCUUCUGGUUAUGUAAUGUCCAGAGUCAGCCCUGGCUAGGUGCCCUUGGCUGCCCAAGCCUGGUCAUGGGACCAGCUUAUGUCUUCAGACAGCCAUGGGGAGAGAAGAGUGUGGAGGGGGGAACCAAGAAAUCAACAACAACCAAAGAAACCCCCACUGUACAGCCCCUGGCAGCCAGUGAGCAAAUGCCAAAGCAUGUUAGACAAAGCAGAGGUUCAGGCAACACUCCCUCCCCCAUGCCGCCCCACUCUGGAACAACCCAUCACAGUAUGGACACUCUGGCCAGCAGAUCUGAGGGAACAGCUGGGAGACAGUGGUUCCUAAGCUUGCCUAGCUUCCCUGCUUCUUUUGGGGCCUGGACACUAGGGUGAUCAGAAGGUCCCAUUCCCCCCUCGCUGGUGUCAGGCCAGCCUCUGGGGGGUUGUUCGGAGGUCAAAUUACAUUUGUUCAUGCAUCAGCUUCAGAGCACACACACCCACUCCCAGGCUGGUGGCAUCACACUAUCCAUUCGCUAUCUUUUACCCGGAUUCAUGGAACCAGGGUGUAGGGCACUGGAAAGUAAAAUUCCUUGUUUUACUUCUGACAUAGGCUCAAAGGGGAAAUGACUUGCCCAGUCAUGCAUUUAAUUAAAGACAGAUCUGGUUUCCAAACUAGGGUGCUGGGAUUCCUUCCCAAUCCUGUGUGUUCUUUACAUGGCUCCCCAAAUCUCCCUGCCAUCUCGCUUUGAUCAUCAAUCACUAUGUAAUGCCUUUUUAUUAACUCUGCCCCUCCUACCAGCCAAAUAUUACAUAACUCGUAGAAGGGUCAUUGCCCUUCUGUCCUGAGAGGCCACUGAAUUCUGCUGGUCUCCAGGGAGCAGUCUGCUAAUCAGGUAUGGGGUGUAGGGAUUGGAGUAGUUCAUCUAACCUUCCCCCUCCCUUCCUCUCUCCUUCCUUCUCACUCUCUCUGUGCUGAGCACUGUGCUUCAGGCUGGGGAUACCCAGAUAAUAUUUGUUACAAUGAAUAUAAGACUCUAUUCAAGUGAUAUGUACCAAGCUACUGUGUACCAGGCAUUCUGCUAAGCCUUUGCAUGGAUCAGACCUCAUAACAACCCUAUGAAGUAGAUACACAUUAUCCUCUAAUUUACAGGUGAGGCAGCCGAGACCUGGAAGGGUCAUGUAACAGUCAAGUUCAUAGGACUAGAAAGUGGCAGACGCCAGGGAAGCUAUAGAGCCUUUGCCAACAGGGAGAUUACAGAGCAGUGGAGCUGUGGGCUGAUUCAUCAUUCCUGCCCCCUUGGGGCCUACCCCACCCCAUUUGUAUGUAGUUCCACAAGGGAACAAAAAGAGGUUAGCUUGGGUUUGUUCGUUUGUCAACCAGCAGUGUAGCUCUUGACUUGCAACAUCCUGCAAAGGGUGCAUUGAAAACUCUGUGGGAGAGAAGGAGGAGAGGCCAGUAGAGGCGAGCCUGCAUGAGUUUUGGCACUGGUCCCUAGGUGGCUUUGUUCUGGUGGAUUAGAGUCUACCCCAGAGAGUCGGACGGGGUGAGCAAGGGCUCCCUUAGAGCAGAACUAAAGGAGCUCGGAGAACAUGAGAAUUUGAGCCUCCCUGUCUCACCUCUCCCUCUGUCUCAGAGUUCCCACCUCCUCCGCUCGAACUUCUCACCCAGAUGAAAGGCAGGCAGACCCUCUCCCAUAUGCUAAUUCCAGAACCUCUGGUACACAUUACAGGCAGAGACACACGCACAGGUGUGUGUGGGGGGAGUGUACGAAUGUUAAGGGAGCUUAUUGCAAACUCAAACGUGGAGACAGCUGGAGCAGUUGCCAGAAUUGGUCACUCCAAUCUGUCGGGACCUUAUCUCCUAUCGGGACCAUGAGAAAGCAGUCCGCUCUGCCAGGAGCUGCAAUUUGUGCAGUGGAGACAUGCUCCCAGGCUAGCACGGCAGGGGACAGCACGUGGGGAACAUCAUGUCCCAGCUGGUCCUGGCAGGGGCGUUCCAUGGGAAGGCCCACUGGUCAUGUGCUUUGCAUGUCCUGACUCUGGGCAGGACAGAUUUGCUGGGCAAUUGGAAUGCUUGGCCCCUGGGGACUUCCUUCAGUGGUUUGUCUAAUCAAAUGAGCACUAUUGCAAGGUCUUGCCUUUGAAGCUCCAGCUGGAAGCCUCUCUGACCCUCCAGCCCACAGGGAGCCAUUCUCCUUCUCAUUGCCUGUAACUCUUUCUGGUCUGGGGCUCUCAGCUAGCCCUCAACAGAGAAGGCCUGCAUCCUCAUGUGCUCUGCUUUUCUCUUAUAGAGAAGGAAAAACUUUGGUUGUACUUAUCUCAGUCUAGUAUCUAAUGUCUCUGAAACGCAGUUGCUUGGUCUGCAAAUGCGAAUAAGUUGUGGGUUUAAAGGAGUUCAUGGUGUAAAGCAGCAUCCAGCACAGUGCUCAUCUUCAGGCAUGCUGGCCGUAUUUGACAGGAUGGUGAUAUUUCAUGCUGUCAAUGCAGAGUGAAAACCAGGCAUUCCAUAAGAAAUAUUCAAAGCCCCCAGAUUCAGAAAUUUCCUUCUUAACACUAUUUCUCCCUUCACCCCAAGGGAAGCUAAAUUCUUCAAACUCUUGUGUACAUGCUACCUCUUGGGAGGCCCAGAGGCUUAUAGAGUCCAAUGUGGUGUGUGUCUACACACGACAGAACAUUAUUCAGCCUUAAAAAAGAAGGACAUCUUGGGGCGCCUGGGUGGCUCAGUUGUUAAGCAUCUGCCUUCAGCUCAGGUCAUGAUCUCGGGGUCCUGGGAUCAAGCCCCACAUCGGGCUCCCUGCUCCGCAGGAAGCCUGCUUCUCCCUCUCCCACUCCCCCUGCUUGUGUUCCCUCUCUUGCGGUGUCUCUCUCUGUCAAAUAAAUAAAUAAAAUCUUUAAAAAAAAAAAAAGAAGGACAUCUUGUCAUUUGUGACAACACAGAUGAACGUGGAGGACAUUAUGCUAGGUGAAAUAAGCUAGACACAAAAAGACAAAUACAGCAUAAGCUCACUUUUACAUGGAAUCUAAAAAAGUUGAACUCACCAUUGAACUUCUCACAGAAGAAGAGUAGAAUGAUGGCCACUAGGGGCUGGGAGGUAGUGGAAAUGCGGAGAUGUUGGUCAAAGGGUAAAAAUUUUCAGUUCUACAGAACUAAGAUGAGUAAGGUCUGGAGAUCUAAUGUACAGCAUGGUGACUAUAGUUAAUAAUACCAUAUAGAAUACAAUAAAUUUGCUAAGAGAAUCACACACACACACAAGGUAACUCUGGGAGGGAUGGAUGUGUUAAUUAUCUUGAUUGUGGUGACCAUUUCACAGCGUAUACAGACAUCAAAACAUCAUGUUUUAUGCUCUAAAUAGAUGCAUUUUUAUUUGUCAAUCACACCUCAAUAAGCUGGAGAGAGAGAGAGAGAACACAACCCACUUAAUAUGAAGUUCCAAACCAGCUUUAAAUCCCUGCAUUAAGAGAUAAGGUUGGGCAAAGGGAUAUAGAAAGAAGAGGACCAAAGCCUUCCCUCUGCCGAUAUGAAUUCAAGUAGAACUAGUUUUAAGUUGACUUUUACUGAAUGUUGUGCACCAAGUACUAUUCUAAGUCAUUUAAUUCUCAAAAACACCAUAUAAAGUAAAUACUUUGCCUCAUUUUACGGGUGAAGAAACUGAGACCCAAGGAGUUUAAGUGGCUAAUAAGUGGCAGAGACAAGGUUCAGACUGGCUGGCUGUCUCCAGAACCUGAGCUGACCAUUAAUCCUCCAAUGCUUUGACUAGAUUUGACUGUGUUUUCCAAUUCUGAAAGUCUGUGAUUCUCUGAUGUCAGGGCAUUACAAACCUAUCAUGACCCUCCUAAAUUUGUCAAACCAGUUCUCAGUCUCUAUGAAUAUAGACCUAAUGUACUUGCAGGGUCAAUAUUUAGGUCAAGAUGGGAUGAUUAUAAAGAAAAGAUAACGAGACGCCCGGAGCCAGUGAGGUGAGGACCAUGUUGCUUCUGAACAUCCUGCUCACCGGUACACCAGGGGUUGGAAAAACCACACUAGGCAAAGAACUUGCAUCAAGAUCAGGACUGAAAUACAUUAAUGUGGGUGAUUUAGCUCGAGAAGGGCAGCUGUAUGAUGGCUAUGAUGAAGAGUAUGAAUGCCCCAUUUUAGAUGAAGACAGAAUAGUUGAUGACUUAGAAAAACCGAAUGAGCGAAGGUGGAGUUAUUGUUGAUUACCAUGGUUGUGAUUUCUUUCCUGAACGCUGGUUUCAUAUAGUUUUUGUGCUGCAAGCAGAUAAGUGUAUUGUACGAAAGACUUGAAACAAGGGGUUAUAAUGAAAAGAAACUAAAAGACAAUAUUCAGUGUGAAAUUUUUCAAGUUCUUUAUGAAGAAGCAUUAGCAUCCUACAAGGAAGAAAUAGUACAUCAACUGCCCAGCAAUAAACGAGAAGAUCUAGAGGAUAAUAUCAAUCAGAUAUUGAAGUGGAUUGAACAGUGGAUCAAGGAUCAUAGCUCCUGACUUAUAAGACUGGCCACUUUACAACCACUCUUGUUAUAUCCCUGCCAUAAUGAAUAAAUUGUCCAGUUAUCAGUAAAAAAAAAAAAAAGAAAGAAAAGAUAAUGAAAUGGGUACAAUCUGCUUUACCACAUGGUUAAAUUCAGAAUUGACCCUAAAAGGCAGCACUGUGCUUGUUCAGACCUCAUCGUUCACAACACAUUAACGUUUUGAUUCUGCAUGCAAGCGCUACAAGCCAUGUAGAAAUCAAGAUUCCUUCAAAUUCAAAAGGAGUGAGAACUCAACUGAGCAGCUGAAGUCACUGGACCCUACACAGGGCCUUGAUCCUCACUCAUGAGGCAGAGAGGACAUGAAGGGGAAAGACUGACAAGGUUGUACUGAGGCCCUAAUGGCAUGGGUCUGAAAGACCUGGAGUGGGGACCGAGUUGAAACACUUGCCAGGAACUCAAGGAACAGCCACAGCAGAGGAGAAGCUGCUGGGCACAGGAGGGAGUGUAGGGAAUGUUCUCCGAAGGCCACGCUUGAUGGCACGCACACAGCAUGCUCUUAAGCAUGGUUCCUGUUAAAGCCAGAGAGGCACCAUCCAUCACUGAGGAAGUGGGGGGUACAUUGUGACCCGCCCCUGCUCCCCCGCGGCAUAACUGAAAACCGAGUGUGGACAGCAGUUCUCACAGCGCUUGGCUGCGUUUCCUCAUUCAGCUGGUGAGCCUCUCGGGAGAAGAGGGUUAAAAGAGAGACCAGGUAAAUUAAAACUAUCUGCACUGAUGGUUGCAACAAUUAGAACAGCAUUCCCCUUAAAAAGGCAGAGGCUCCCAAACUCUGUGGGUCCAACAGACCCUUUAUGAUGGUGGAGGUCCUUGUGGACCACCUAGCCCCACCAGCCAGUCCCCACUUAAAAGAAAAAUAAGGAGAAAACCCAGCCCGUUAGUGCAAAUGGGAGGCACUUAGAUGAGACACCAGUGAGGUGAUGUCUGGCUUUUUAUUAAUUACCAUAAGUAAAUUAAUAACCCAUGUCAGGAACGAAGGGAGAGACACUGUCCUGUUGUAAACCCUUGGAGACCACCAGCCAUCUAGGUAGGGCCCAGGUGCUCUGAGAACCAGGGGGAUAAUGGGAUUGGGCCACACCUUAGUGCCCCCUCCUACCCUCGCCAGCUCACACAGUUAACAGAGUUUUCUCAACAGAUCUGAACCCACGUGAGACUCGUGGUCUUGACCUCGAAUCCCCAAGUGGGUUCAGCCUCGUUAUGUUCACACCAGUGGCUCUGAGCACGUGCAGAUACAAAGAAGGCACAAGAGCCAUAAACAGCAUUUGCCUGUAUCAGAGGCCCUUGGGCAUGAACUUGUGAGGCCACAGUGAGAGGCAGCACAGGGUAAUGGUUAGAAGAGCAUGGACUCUGGAGCAGAUCCUCCUUCCUGGAAUCCUACCUCUGCCAUUUGCCAACCGUAGGGCCUUAGAUAAGCCACUUUACCCAUCUGGGGUUCAGCCUCCUCAUCUAUUAAACGGGCAUAAAUAGUUCCUGUCUCACGGGGCUGUCAUGGGGAUUAGGUGGGUUAAUAUUGGAGGAGGAUUUCUCAACUUUGGUACUACUACUAUUUGGGGCCAGAUAAUUCUUUGCUGUGGGGGCUGUCCUGUGUAUCAUAGGAUAUUUAACAGCAUCCCUAGCCUCUUCCCACAGAUGUGAAUAGCAACCACCACUGCCUCCCAUCUGUGACAAUCAAAAAUGUCUCCAGACAUUGCCAGAUGUCUCCUGGGGUGGGGGUAAAAUGGCCUUCAGUUGAGAAACACUGUCUUAGAUUAUGUUGUAGAUAAAAAUGGCCAAAUAUCAGCAUUUUUAUACACUGCAACAUAAUAAUUAUAAAGUGUUUAGUUAAAAAUCUAGAAAUUUUGUGUAUGUGUUUAUAUGCUUUAUCUGGGGUAAAGGAACCCAGUGCUUUCAACAGAUGCUCAGAAAAAUAAAAGCAUGGAGAAUCCUGGCCUGAGUUCAACUUUCAACAAGCAAACAGAAUUUUUGAGUCCUUAUCUGUAAAAUGGGUACAAUACCUACUUCCUUGGGUUCUUGGGAGGAUAGAGUGAGGGGAACAUAAGUGGAAUGCUUUUAUACACUGAGAAAUGUCAUAGAGAUGUCAUUAGAAUGCUGGCUGGCUGCCUUCUUGGAAUUUGGGGGCCAAGGUUGGUGAGGCAGGCAGGACCCCUUUCACAGCAAAUUCUUUGGAUUUCUGAAAAGGUGUUGGGAUAUGAGAAGAGUAUAUAUUUGGUGCAUUGUUAUGGAGGUGCUGGAAUGGGCGAUGUGACUGGCUGGAUAGGAAGGUUUCUUUGGGAAGGCACCAACCAUGGCUCAAACAAGAGGUGAAUAGGCGGCUUUAUCUGGAGUGCAGGCCCCAGGGUGGAUAGGUCAGUGACUGGCCACACCAUGGUGGAUCAGGGGAAUCGGAUCUCCACAGAACAAAUGACAGCAUGCUUUCUGAGCCCUGGUCCUCCUCUCCUGACAUUCCUUCUGCCCACAGAUGUACCGAGGCUUCACCAAGAUGCCCCACGUGCAGUACAUCCACACAGAAGCUUCUGAAAGUCUCUGUGGCCUGAAGCUAGAAGUCAACAAGUA